GCACCAUCCAGAGAAUCGCUGUCGCAGCUCACGCACUGAAAGCCAUCGUGCUUUCUCACCUUUUGCUGUGGGGAAAGUCCCCGGAGACCUGCAGGGCCGCCGUCCGAUGCCGGAGUCCAGCCCAUCACACUUGAGGAAAGCGCCUGUCCCGAGGCACGACAGGAAGUGUGAUCUCCGUGCACAAGACGGAUGCAUUGGCGUCACUUGUUAUAUCACUUGCGAAGCGGUGCAUGUGACUCGAAAGACGUGCUCUGCCUCCCGUGCAUGCUGGAUCUCCGCGUUGCAUCUCUCAGUUCCGCAAAGUCCGACCACGACUAUGCGCUGGCGAAGAUAGGAGCCGUGCGGAUUCGUGCAGGAUGGGCCUGAGAUGAAGCUGCCCGGAGAGUGGUUGCCGGAAUCGUGUUGCUCAUAGCCGAUAGUUAUGCGAUUGCGUCUAUGCUGGCCUCGGCCAGCACGGUCGUAACCCAAUGGGGCUCAUUCCUGAAUGGUG
RNAcentral lists this RNase MRP RNA (490 nucleotides) under Rhizoctonia solani AG-8 WAC10335. RNAcentral describes it as "RNase MRP". It matches the Rfam family "RNase MRP". Rfam says of the family: RNase MRP is an enzymatically active ribonucleoprotein with two distinct roles in eukaryotes. In mitochondria it plays a direct role in the initiation of mitochondrial DNA replication. In the nucleus it is involved in precursor rRNA processing, where it cleaves the internal transcribed spacer 1 between 18S and 5.8S rRNAs. Lineage: Eukaryota; Fungi; Basidiomycota; Agaricomycetes; Cantharellales; Ceratobasidiaceae. The record is from Rfam by way of RNAcentral.